RNAcentral lists this long non-coding RNA (208 nucleotides) under Gossypium raimondii (Peruvian cotton). RNAcentral's name for it is "long non-coding RNA (GRAI_LNC002832)". The record is from RNAcentral. Lineage: Eukaryota; Viridiplantae; Streptophyta; Magnoliopsida; Malvales; Malvaceae.
GGAGAUUCUGCUUCCUUUUUGUUUAAGUCAACUUGCCAUCAGAAAGCCCCUUUUCACUCCCCUAUUUACUCACGAUCCACUUUUUACUCCCCUUGCCCCCAAACUUACCCAAAGUGAGCCUUUGACUACUCAUGGUCGACCCUAGCUCUCCCUAAACCCCAUCUUUUAUUUUGAUACUCCCAUUUUUCCUCUCUUCCCCCCUCUAGAC